UGGUCGGGGAUAACAGUUGGAAACGACUGCUAACACCGGAUGAGUCGAGAGAUAAAAAAUUUAUUGCCAACAGAGGAGCUCGCGCCUGAUUAGCUAGAUGGUGGGGUAAAAGCCUACCAUGGCGACGAUCAGUAGCUGGUCUGAGAGGAUGAGCAGCCACACUGGGACUGAGACACGGCCCAGACUCCUACGGGAGGCAGCAGUGGGGAAUUUUCCGCAAUGGGCGAAAGCCUGACGGAGCAAUACCGCGUGAGGGAGGAAGGCUUUUGGGUCGUAAACCUCAAAACUUAGGGAAGAAGAAAGUGACGGUACCUAAUAUAAGCAUCGGCUAACUCCGUGCCAGCAGCCGCGGUAAUACGGAGGAUGCGAGCGUUAUCCGGAAUCAUUGGGCGUAAAGAGUCUGUAGGUGGCACUUCAAGUCUGCUGUCAAAGACCGAAGCUUAACUUCGGGAAGGCGGUGGAAACUGAAGAGCUAGAGGUAAGCAGGGGUAGAGGGAAUUCCCAGUGUAGCGGUGAAAUGCGUAGAGAGUUGGGAAGAACACCAGUGGCGAAGGCCGCCUCUACUGGGCUUAACUGACACUCAGAGACCGAAAG
This 594-nucleotide ribosomal RNA is filed under the name Synechocystis sp. KUSW63C. RNAcentral's name for it is "bacterial SSU rRNA". It matches the Rfam family "Bacterial small subunit ribosomal RNA", at positions 134 to 759 of the family's 1533-position model. The record is from RNAcentral. Lineage: Bacteria; Bacillati; Cyanobacteriota; Cyanophyceae; Synechococcales; Merismopediaceae.